GUGCUCGCCCUCUGGCAGCACACAGACUAAAAUUGUAACAACACAGGAAAGAUUAGCAUGGCCUUUGCGCAAGGAUGACAAAGAAAAUUUAAAAAGACCAUGCAAAAGCUCU
Molecule: small nuclear RNA, 112 nt
Organism: Jaculus jaculus (lesser Egyptian jerboa)
Lineage: Eukaryota; Metazoa; Chordata; Mammalia; Rodentia; Dipodidae
Source: Ensembl